AGACGCGCCGCCGCUGCCAUGGCCCAGCCCCUGUGCCCGCCGCUCUCCGAGUCCUGGAUGCUCUCUGCGGCCUGGGGCCCAACUCGGCGGCCGCCGCCCUCCGACAAGGACUGCGGCCGCUCCCUCGUCUCGUCCCCAGACUCAUGGGGCAGCACCCCAGCCGACAGCCCCGUGGCGAGCCCCGCGCGGCCAGGCACCCUCCGGGACCCCCGCGCCCCCUCCGUAGGUAGGCGCGGCGCGCGCAGCAGCCGCCUGGGCAGCGGGCAGAGGCAGAGCGCCAGUGAGCGGGAGAAACUGCGCAUGCGCACGCUGGCCCGCGCCCUGCACGAGCUGCGCCGCUUUCUACCGCCGUCCGUGGCGCCCGCGGGCCAGAGCCUGACCAAGAUCGAGACGCUGCGCCUGGCUAUCCGCUAUAUCGGCCACCUGUCGGCCGUGCUAGGCCUCAGCGAGGAGAGUCUCCAGCGCCGGUGCCGGCAGCGCGGUGACGCGGGGUCCCCUCGGGGCUGCCCGCUGUGCCCCGACGACUGCCCCGCGCAGAUGCAGACACGGACGCAGGCUGAGGGGCAGGGGCAGGGGCGCGGGCUGGGCCUGGUAUCCGCCGUCCGCGCCGGGGCGUCCUGGGGAUCCCCGCCUGCCUGCCCCGGAGCCCGAGCUGCACCCGAGCCGCGCGACCCGCCUGCGCUGUUCGCCGAGGCGGCGUGCCCUGAAGGGCAGGCGAUGGAGCCAAGCCCACCGUCCCCGCUCCUUCCGGGCGACGUGCUGGCUCUGUUGGAGACCUGGAUGCCCCUCUCGCCUCUGGAGUGGCUGCCUGAGGAGCCCAAGUGACAAGGGACAACUGACGCCGUCUCUGUGAGCACCGAGGCUUUUUGGCCUCAGCACCUUCGAAGUGGUUCCUUGGCAGACUGCCUUUCCUGGAAGAGGGCACGGGCGAUCCCGACGGGGGCAUUCCUGCGGGCAGAAGCUGACGCACAGGGAACUCGAGGAACUUUCCAUAAGGCUAGUGUGCAGCCCCUGGGGACGGGCCAACUGUGGGCUGGUGGUUGGUGAAGCCUGUCUUUGCAAGAGCCCUGGCAGCAAGAGAAGGGGUCUCACUAUGUUACCCAGGCUGGUCUUGAACUCCUGAGCUCAAGUGGUCCACCCGCCUUGGCCUCCCAAAGUGCUUGGAUUACAGGAGCCCUUAGACUACCAUGUGAGAAAGGCUGUACUAGUCUGCAGGAGAGACCAUGAGGAAAACCGAGGUGCACUGGCCAAUAACCUGCCAACUGCCAGGUGUGUGAGUGAAGCUAUCUUAGAAGAGCUGUGAGCUGCCUGAAGGCACAUUUGAGAGCCCAGGUGAGACCAGUAGAAGAAACGGACUGAGUCCAGUCCAAAUUGCUGACCUACAGACUCAAGGACUAAACACUGACUAUUUUCUUAAACCAUUAAGUUUUGGGGUGGUUUGUUAUUUAGCAUUAGGUAAUUAAUAAGGUGUUUGGGGCGGAGCAAGAAGGAUUGAUGAGGGAGAGCCAUGCAGGGAGCCCAAAUGGAACUGGAGAUUAUCGAUUUCCAACGGUUUCAGGGGAGUUGAUCUCAUUAUUCUUUAUUACACACACACACGUACACACAUGCGCGCGCGCACACACACACACACACACAUUAUACAGGUUCAUUUGCAUGCAUUAGGUAUUUUUAAAUGUUUAAAAGAGAGAGAGAUCCCUGGAGAAACUGAUGGAAGUUUACUGUGGGAGAAAUGAGCCUCUUCUUGGCCGUAUGGGAUGGGAAGGAUGUUGUCUUAAUCCAUUUUCUGUUGCUUAUAACAGAAUACCUGAAACUGGAUAAUGUAUAAAGCAAAGGAAUUUAUUUCUUACAGUUCUGGAGGCUGAGAAGUCCAAGGUCAAGGGUCCACAGCUAGUGAGAGCCUUCUUGCUGGUGGGGACUCUCUAGAGAGUCCCGAGACGGCAUAGGGUGUGACAUGGUGAGGGAAUUGAGUGUGCUCAUGUUCUAGCUCAGGUAUCUCUUCCUUUUCUUAUAAAGCCACUAUUUCCACUCCCAUGAUACCCAUUAAUCCAUUCACCUAUUAAUCCAUUAAUGCAUGAGUGGGUUAAUCCAUUCAUGUGGGAAGAGCCUUCAUGAUCCAAUCAUCUCCUAAAGGCCCCAUCUCACAGUACUGCCACAAUGGGGAUUGAGUUUUCACAUGGGUUUUGGAGGGGAGAGUCAAACCAUAGCAGAUGUCAUCUGUGCUAUCAUACAAUUUUGUUAGAAAAAAUUGUAACAUAUAUGUGACAUUGGUGAUCUUCAGAAGCUCACCAGGAGAGUGAUGACUAUACAAAAGGUGGACUGUAGUCAGAGAGGCUGUCAGAUUUUACUAUCAAAUAGCAAUUAAAAUAAUCUGGCCAAUUAUUUACCCCGUCCCACCCUCAAGCUACUGACCUCUCAACAAGCACACUGAUGGUGGGUCCUUGGGUCCCGCUAGCCUCCACCAGAUGGAGGGAGGCGUCUGUGCACAGCACCACACAUUUCAUUUGGGAUUUCACUUGACCUUCAGGAUACAUAUUCUGUCCUUUGUGGACCGAGAAAUAUUUUAGGAAGUGAAUGCUUUGGCAGAAACAUCCCUGAGGAAGAGCAGCGACCCCAAGAGGGAAUCCUAGAGAAAGUAAUCACACAAGCCGGUCAGAAAACGGGGUAGGGGAGGAGGCCAUGGGCACAGGGGCUGUGACCAGCAAGUGUGUGAGGGACUUGUAGGAUGUGAAGGCAAAAUCAAGCAAUGAGCACCCUGUGAGAGAAAAUCAGUAAACCUAGUGCCCAAUGGGAGAGAAAAGCCCCCUGCAGGGGAAUGCUGCUGUGUCUGGAGAGGAAUUGGGGAGGGGGAGAAGCAAGAGCAUGGAGGAGGGCAGGGUCAGCACUGGAGUGGAAGGAAGCUACAACCCAGCCAGGGACUGAGGCGCAGCUGACCAUGGGAUGCAAAGGCGUAUGGGCAGGGGGAGGCACAGCUGUUUCAGAAAAGGCGGUGUGUGUGUGUGUGUGUGUGUGUGUGGCCAAACAACAAGAACUUAAUAUCCAGAAAAAAAUGAAAACAAGCUAUUUUGGUCAAGGGCUUAUGAAAUCAUCAUCAUUCUUCUUUCCUUGAAAUAUCUUUUGCUUCUAUAAUAAUGCUGUUGGUUCAAUAAGUAAAAUAAAGGAGGGUCUUUAGUGGUGUUUAUCUUA
RNA transcript from Homo sapiens (human), 3183 nucleotides. It is a transcript of the gene named mesoderm posterior bHLH transcription factor 1, with no coding region annotated. The transcript is spliced from 5 exons. The record is from RefSeq and is marked validated. Lineage: Eukaryota; Metazoa; Chordata; Mammalia; Primates; Hominidae.